UCUCCGGUAUACAUUUUUAACUGUGAUAAGGCUAUAAGAAUAUAAUAUUCAUAAACGUAAACCCAUUAUUUGUGUUUAUCAAUUAUAUCAGAAAAUCAGUUACCAGAGCAAUGAAUGAAGUCUCUUAAUUCGUUUGAAUUCGUGUUAAAAAUAUGAUACGGGGUUCCAAUUUUAAAAUCGAACGUGUAAAAACAUAAUUUUAAUUCACAAAAAAUCCUCCGAGAAAAUCGCCAGUCCAUGACAAAAUAGAUAACUUUGUAUUAUUAUAUAAAUAUAUGUAUAUA
Molecule: non-coding RNA, 284 nt
Organism: Cinara cedri
Lineage: Eukaryota; Metazoa; Arthropoda; Insecta; Hemiptera; Aphididae
Source: the annotation of a GenBank genome assembly